AGCAGCCGCGGUAAAUUCCAGCUCCAAUAGCGUAUAUUAAAGUUGUUGCAGUUAAAAAGCUCGUAGUUGAACUUCGGGGUUUACCCAUUGGUCAGGCUUAAUUGUCUGUACUGGUGAGAUAAAUCUCUACCUUCUGAGGAACUUUCAUGCCAUUUAUUUGGUGUGAUGGGAAAUCAGGACUGUUACUUUGAAAAAAUUAGAGUGUUUAAAGCAGGCUAACGUCUGAAUACAUUAGCAUGGAAUAAUGAAAUAGGACGGACUGAUUCUAUUUCGUUGGUUUCUAGGAUCACCGUAAUGAUUAAUAGGGAUAGUUGGGGGCAUUAGUAUUCAAUUGUCAGAGGUGAAAUUCUUGGAUUUAUUGAAGACUAACUACUGCGAAAGCAUUUGCCAAGGAUGUUUU
This 400-nucleotide ribosomal RNA is filed under the name uncultured Glomeromycotina. RNAcentral describes it as "SSU rRNA". It matches the Rfam family "Eukaryotic small subunit ribosomal RNA", at positions 569 to 970 of the family's 1831-position model. Lineage: Eukaryota; Fungi; Glomeromycota. The record is from RNAcentral.